RNAcentral lists this ribosomal RNA (492 nucleotides) under uncultured bacterium. RNAcentral's name for it is "partial 16S ribosomal RNA". It matches the Rfam family "Bacterial small subunit ribosomal RNA", at positions 29 to 507 of the family's 1533-position model. The record is from RNAcentral.
AGUGAACGCUGGCGGUAGGCCUAACACAUGCAAGUCGAACGGCAGCACAGUAAGAGCUUGCUCUUACGGGUGGCGAGUGGCGGACGGGUGAGGAAUACAUCGGAAUCUACUUUUUCGUGGGGGAUAACGUAGGGACACUUACGCUACUACCGCAUACGACCUACGGGUGAAAGCAGGGGAUCUUCGCACCUUGCGCGAUUGAAUGAGCCGAUGUCGGAUUAGCUAGUUGGCGUGGUAAAGGCCCACCAAGGCGACGAUCCGUAGCUGGUCUGAGAGGAUGAUCAGCCACACUGGAACUGAGACACGGUCCAGACUCCUACGGGAGGCAGCAGUGGGGAAUAUUGGACAAUGGGCGCAAGCCUGAUCCAGCCAUACCGCGUGGGUGAAGAAGGCCUUCGGGUUGUAAAGCCCUUUUGUUGGGAAAGAAAAGCAGCAGGUUAAUACCCCGCUGUUCUGACGGUACCCAAAGAAUAAGCACCGGCUAACUUCGUG